GUCAUCAUUAUUCACCAAAGUAAAAGUCAAGAAGAAGAAGAAAAAAAAAAAAAAGAGUCGCACUUUAAAAAGUUAAAAAAGAGUAUCUGCUCCCAGUCCGAUCAUCGUACUGAAGGGAUCUUUCUUAUACCUAAAACGACUCUUUGAGUGAAUCAAGACGAUCUCUCCCUACUCUCUCAGUCGAAGAUUGAGAUCAGAGUAGAUGGCUGGAUUGAGUUUCGUUUCCCCUUCACUUUGAUACGCGAUUUCUCUUUCCAUAGAUUACUGAUUCACAAAUCACAAUCAAUAUUCCGAUGUUGUAAGCAAGUGGAGUUUGUAUACAAAUGAUUUACUAUGAACAUUACUUUUAACCAUAUAUAAAAUUUCACUUAUGCUUGUGGAUG
Camelina sativa (false flax) is the source of this 383-nucleotide long non-coding RNA. RefSeq lists it as uncharacterized. The record is from RefSeq and is a predicted model, not a curated record. NCBI's taxonomy places the organism in Eukaryota, Viridiplantae, Streptophyta, Magnoliopsida, Brassicales, Brassicaceae.